GUGCAUGGCGGGUCUACCAUGCAGUCGAACGAUGAAGCCCUGCUUGCAGGGUGGAUUAGUGGCGAACGGGUGAGUAACACGUGAGUAACCUGCCCCUGACUCUGGGAUAAGCCCGGGAAACUGGGUCUAAUACCGGAUAUGACUUCCUACUGCAUGGUGGGUUGUUGAAAGAUUUAUCGGUGGGGGAUGGACUCGCGGCCUAUCAGCUUGUUGGUGAGGUAAUGGCUCACCAAGGCGACGACGGGUAGCCGGCCUGAGAGGGUGACCGGCCACACUGGGACUGAGACACGGCCCAGACUCCUACGGGAGGCAGCAGUGGGGAAUAUUGCACAAUGGGCGGAAGCCUGAUGCAGCGACGCCGCGUGAGGGAUGACGGCCUUCGGGUUGUAAACCUCUUUCAGUAGGGAAGAAGCGAAAGUGACGGUACCUGCAGAAGAAGCGCCGGCUAACUACGUGCCAGCAGCCGCGGUAAUACGUAGGGCGCAAGCGUUAUCCGGAUUUAUUGGGCGUAAAGAGCUCGUAGGCGGUUUGUCGCGUCUGCCGUGAAAGUCCGAGGCUCAACCUCGGAUCUGCGGUGGGUACGGGCAGACUAGAGUGAUGUAGGGGAGACUGGAAUUCCUGGUGUAGCGGUGAAAUGCGCAGAUAUCAGGAGGAACACCGAUGGCGAAGGCAGGUCUCUGGGCAUUUACUGACGCUGAGGAGCGAAAGCAUGGGGAGCGAACAGGAUUAGAUACCCUGGUAGUCCAUGCCGUAAACGUUGGGCACUAGGUGUGGGGGACAUUCCACGUUUUCCGCGCCGUAGCUAACGCAUUAAGUGCCCCGCCUGGGGAGUACGGCCGCAAGGCUAAAACUCAAAGGAAUUGACGGGGGCCCGCACAAGCGGCGGAGCAUGCGGAUUAAUUCGAUGCAACGCGAAGAACCUUACCAAGGCUUGACAUGUGCCAGACCGCUCCAGAGAUGGGGUUUCCCUUCGGGGCUGGUUCACAGGUGGUGCAUGGGUUGUCGUCAGCUCGUGUCGUGAGAUGUUGGGUUUAAGUCCCGCAACGAGCGCAAU
This 1054-nucleotide ribosomal RNA is filed under the name uncultured Aurantimicrobium sp. RNAcentral's name for it is "bacterial SSU rRNA". It matches the Rfam family "Bacterial small subunit ribosomal RNA", at positions 35 to 1102 of the family's 1533-position model. The record is from RNAcentral. Lineage: Bacteria; Bacillati; Actinomycetota; Actinomycetes; Micrococcales; Microbacteriaceae.